This 107-nucleotide small nucleolar RNA is filed under the name Gossypium arboreum. RNAcentral's name for it is "Plant small nucleolar RNA R71". It matches the Rfam family "Plant small nucleolar RNA R71". From Rfam's summary of the family: R71 is a member of the C/D box family of snoRNAs containing the C (UGAUGA) and D (CUGA) box motifs. Multiple nearly identical copies of this snoRNA have been identified in Arabidopsis, and it is thought to function as a 2'-O-ribose methylation guide for 18S ribosomal RNA. The record is from Rfam by way of RNAcentral. Lineage: Eukaryota; Viridiplantae; Streptophyta; Magnoliopsida; Malvales; Malvaceae.
AACCCAUGGUGAGGGCACCUUCUCAAUAAAUCCUUGUAUCUCUCCCAUGUAUCAUAAAGUGUUUCUAAAUCCAUCUGCACAAAAGAAGAGAUAUCAUUCCUUAAUUU